AUUUUUUUUAUUUUUAGGCAAACCUCUACAGCAUUCCUUCUCUAGCAGUUCCCUUUUUGAUUGUCCCUGUCUUCCUCUUCGAUUCCUGAUCAAAUAAUACCCAAAAGAAAAACCAAAAAUUAGUAAGAGAGAAGAAAAGGGAUAAUUAAAGUAACAAAAAUAGAAAAUAUUUUUAUUUUAUUUUAGAGAUAUAUGUAUAUAUUUUUUAAAGUUUUUUUUUACAUAUAUGAAAAGAAAAACAACUAUACUAACAAUCCCCGGCAACGGCGCCAAAAAUUGAUAGUCAACUUUAAAGACCAUGCAAUAGCACGUAUCUGGUAGGAUAGUGAUUACGGGUAUC
Molecule: long non-coding RNA, 340 nt
Filed under: Phoenix dactylifera (date palm)
Lineage: Eukaryota; Viridiplantae; Streptophyta; Magnoliopsida; Arecales; Arecaceae
Description: long non-coding RNA (PDAC_LNC016910)
Source: RNAcentral